Molecule: long non-coding RNA, 2028 nt
Organism: Cyprinus carpio (common carp)
Lineage: Eukaryota; Metazoa; Chordata; Actinopteri; Cypriniformes; Cyprinidae
Source: Ensembl
AUGUUCUCCGCGCGGAGCUCAUCGAUGCCUCACCGCACUCUUAGCGCGUCUUCUCUCAUGGCGUCUGAACACACGCUGAACUUUAUACAGCUAGCAGAUAGACUCGCGGCGCAACCAUGGCCGAGGUCUGUAAAGGUUUUAUUGCUGGCAUUUGCUGUUGGUGUUUAUCUCAUUCCCUCCCCUGAUGAUCCCGAGCCCUACAUGUGAGUUGCCUCACUUGCCUUUUCACUGCAAAUCUUCACUGCCAUCACACAUUAGACAUGCGGAAGUGAUUCACAAAGACUCAAGUGUUGUUUUAUCAAAGCCUUGGCUGUUCAAAAGAGUCUUCAUUAGAGCACAAAUUAUGAUUCUCAGGAAGCUCUUAUUCCUUAUUCUGUGGUAAAUACACAUUUGAUGCCUCCCUCUUAUUUUACUGUAUUUGAAAUAAUCAUCAUUCGAGCAAAGGUGUUCUUUGGUGAGUCAGAAGCAACAAAUAUAAUUAAUAUAAUAUUUGAUUGAAGAACAUUUUUGAGAGAAUUUAUCUAAUAUUUCAUCCAUCUACUUGCACAUAUUGAUUUUCUUUAGCUCACUGUGUUUUAUUUUUGCGGCUUGAAGACUUAAACCAAAAAAAAAAAAAAAAACGCAUUUUGAUUUUUGCCUCCUUACAAUUUAAAAGUGCAUCAUAUUUACAUAACUCCCUCACAUUCCUCCUACAAGGAGCAGAUGGGAGUCCCUUUGGCUCUCUCAAUGGUCUGGAGUGUUCGAAAAAUCGAAGUGUGUUUUUCACGGACUGCAGCAGUAAAUGGGGAAGACGUCCCGUCCUUUACGAGGUGAGCGAGUGACAACAGAACAUAUCGUACUUCAUUGAAUUAAGUGAAAACAUUAAAGCGCAGUAACUUUACCUGCACUGAAGACAGAUGUUGGAGACAAACCACCUGGGUCGCCUUCGCUCAUAUGACCCUGUGACGGAGUUCAGUUUCAUUUUCGUUAAGGUUUCAGUAAUUUGUGUGUUUCUGUUAUUUUUAUUAUUAUUUUUUUUUUUUUAUAUAUGCCCUAUGCACAUAAACUGACAGUCACCACGGAUAAGCUACUACUAAAUAUUGUUAUUUUGUUAUGAUAAUGUAAUGCAAAACACAGAAACAACAAUAUUUCAGAAUGCUUUUAUCAAUCCAACACAAAAACCAAAAGUCCACACCGACCAUUGCAAUGCUACUAACAAAUAUAAUUAAAGAAUUAUGUGCAAAACGUCAUUAAACAUGUCAGACAUGAUCACAGACUGAAAAGUGCUUCACUGAACAGAUAUAUUGAAGUAUUGUGAGAAAGAUCUGCUUAUGCCUGUCUGCCACCUCUCACAUCAUUUGGGAGAAUUGAGAUAUUGCCAGAAGCUCGAUGAAGGUUAGGUAGUAGUCUGAAAGUAAAACAGUCCCUAAAUGCCUCAAAACCACUGCAGGAUUUCCCUCAUAGAACCAAAAUGGGACACACGGGUUCAUCAGUGACCUGCUGUGAUCCACACCUGACCUCUGACUCAUUCACAACUGACAUCCGUCAAACACCAAACUCAGAAAAGAAAACAUUUAAAAGACAAUAAUGAAAUGCUAAAUACAAUAUUUGCACUAAGUGAAUCAGUUAGUUGUGGUAUAACUCAAGUGAAAUGUCUGUCCAAACACAGAUUGUGCCGAUAUAUAGAUGUGACAGGAACCGAAAAAGUCAGAGAAUAUUUUUAUACAAUAAGGUAUUUUGUGCAUUAAAAAUAUUGUAGUUCACUAUCAUAUGCAAGCACAUUUCUGCUACAGGAUAAAAUAACAAAAAUGGUCAUUGCAACUUUUAAUCUCACAAUUUGGACAGAAUUCGAAAAUCAGAAUUGCAAGAUAUAAACUGACAAUUCUGAGAAAAAAGACAGAAUUGCAAACUAUUUUAUUAUAUAAAGUUGCAAUUCUGAGAAGUCUGAACUGUGAGAUUUGAGAAUUUUUUUUUUUUUUAAAUGCACAUUAGAAAAAGGAAUUCAGAAUCAGAAAUAAAAAAAAAAAGAAUUGUGAGGUAAAAAGUUGC